This 76-nucleotide transfer RNA is filed under the name Caudoviricetes sp. Its description in RNAcentral is "tRNA-Lys". It matches the Rfam family "tRNA". From Rfam's summary of the family: Transfer RNA (tRNA) molecules are approximately 80 nucleotides in length. Their secondary structure includes four short double-helical elements and three loops (D, anti-codon, and T loops). The record is from RNAcentral. Lineage: Duplodnaviria; Heunggongvirae; Uroviricota; Caudoviricetes.
GUACCCGUAGCUCAGGUGGUAGAGCACUUGACUUUUAAUCAAGGUGUCGUGGAUUCAAGUUCCACCGGGCACACCA